This 550-nucleotide ribosomal RNA is filed under the name uncultured bacterium. RNAcentral's name for it is "bacterial SSU rRNA". It matches the Rfam family "Bacterial small subunit ribosomal RNA", at positions 776 to 1323 of the family's 1533-position model. The record is from RNAcentral.
AAAUAGAUACCCGGGUAGUCCACCCCGUAAACGUUGGGAACUAGUUGUGGGGUCCAUUCCACGGAUUCCGUGACGCAGCUAACGCAUUAAGUUCCCCGCCUGGGGAGUACGGCCGCAAGGCUAAAAACUCAAAGGAAUUGACGGGGACCCGCACAAGCGGCGGAGCAUGCGGAUUAAUUCGAUGCAACGCGAAGAACCUUACCAAGGCUUGACAUAUACGAGAACGGGCCAGAAAUGGUCAACUCUUUGGACACUCGUAAACAGGUGGUGCAUGGUUGUCGUCAGCUCGUGUCGUGAGAUGUUGGGUUAAGUCCCGCAACGAGCGCAACCCUCGUUCUAUGUUGCCAGCACGUAAUGGUGGGAACUCAUGGGAUACUGCCGGGGUCAACUCGGAGGAAGGUGGGGAUGACGUCAAAUCAUCAUGCCCCUUAUGUCUUGGGCUUCACGCAUGCUACAAUGGCCGGUACAAAGGGCUGCAAUACCGCGAGGUGGAGCGAAUCCCGAAAAAGCCGGUCCCAGUUCGGAUUGAGGUCUGCAACUCGACUCAUGG